AUACGGAGGGUCCAAGCGUUAUCCGGAAUCAUUGGGUUUAAAGGGUCCGCAGGCGGUCAAUUAAGUCAGAGGUGAAAGCCCAUCGCUCAACGAUGGAACUGCCUUUGAUACUGGUUGACUUGAGUUAUACGGAAGUAGAUAGAAUAAGUAGUGUAGCGGUGAAAUGAAUAGAUAUUACUUAGAAUACCGAUUGCGAAGGCAGUCUACUACGUAUAUACUGACGCUGAGGGACGAAAGCGUGGGGAGCGAACAGGAUUAGAAACCCUAGUAGUCC
This 274-nucleotide ribosomal RNA is filed under the name uncultured bacterium. RNAcentral describes it as "partial 16S ribosomal RNA". It matches the Rfam family "Bacterial small subunit ribosomal RNA", at positions 523 to 796 of the family's 1533-position model. The record is from RNAcentral.